GAUGAACGCUGGCGGCGUGCCUAAUACAUGCAAGUCGAGCGAACAGACGAGGAGCUUGCUCCUCUGACGUUAGCGGCGGACGGGUGAGUAACACGUGGAUAACCUACCUAUAAGACUGGGAUAACUUCGGGAAACCGGAGCUAAUACCGGAUAAUAUAUUGAACCGCAUGGUUCAAUAGUGAAAGACGGUUUUGCUGUCACUUAUAGAUGGAUCGGCGCCGCAUUAGCUAGUUGGUAAGGUAACGGCUUACCAAGGCGACGAUGCGUAGCCGACCUGAGAGGGUGAUCGGCCACACUGGAACUGAGACACGGUCCAGACUCCUACGGGAGGCAGCAGUAGGGUAUCUUCCGCAAUGGGCGAAAGCCUGACGGAGCAACGCCGCGUGAGUGAUGAAGGUCUUCGGAUCGUAAAACUCUGUUAUUAGGGAAGAACAAAUGUGUAAGUAACUAUGCACGUCUUGACGGUACCUAAUCAGAAAGCCACGGCUAACUACGUG
RNAcentral lists this ribosomal RNA (497 nucleotides) under uncultured bacterium. Its description in RNAcentral is "partial 16S ribosomal RNA". It matches the Rfam family "Bacterial small subunit ribosomal RNA", at positions 28 to 507 of the family's 1533-position model. The record is from RNAcentral.